UGCACGGAUUGGACAGUUUACUUAAGAACAUGAAAACAUCACUGGCGAGUGAUUUACAUAUUUCAGUGAAUCAUCACUGAUAGCAUUGCUGAUAAGCUGCGCGCGAGCUUGCGAGAUUCUCGAAUGAACGUCACUUCGUGCGAUUAGUCGCAUCAUUUUAUCUCAUUGUGUAAUGUACGCGAAAUACGCGUGGGAUUCACGCGUCGUGUCGGGAGUGCCGCAUAAAGUGUCGCGUGUCGGGAGUGCCGUGUAAAGUUUCGCGUAUCGGGAGUGCCGUAUAAAGUGUUGGGCGAUCGUAAUUAUUCGUAUUUUCGCGAAUAUCGCGAGUGCUAUAUACAAAGGACCAAGAGAGGAGGAGGAGGCCUGGAGAGGUAUCGGGCGACGACGGAGCAACUGCAAGGUAAGUCUUACUGAUUAGCUGCGGGCGAGUUUAACUGCAAGAUCCUCCAGUACUAAACGGACGUCCCUUCGUGUGAUUAUAAAUGCCGCAUCGUUUUUUCUCAUUGUACGCAAUGUACGCGAAAUGUGCAUGCGAUUCACGCAUCGAUUCACGCAUCGCGUCGGGAGUGCCGUGUAAAGCGUCGCCCAUCGGGAGUGCCGUAUAAAGUUUCGCAUAUCGGGAGUGCCGUGUAAAGUGUCGCGCGAUCGUAAUUAUUCGUAUUUUCGCGAAUGUCGUGAGUGCUACGAAGGACCAAAAGAGGAGGAGGAGGCCCGGGGAGGCAUCGGGCAACAGCGGGGCAAC
This is a non-coding RNA of Nylanderia fulva, 742 nucleotides long. NCBI's taxonomy places the organism in Eukaryota, Metazoa, Arthropoda, Insecta, Hymenoptera, Formicidae. The record is from RefSeq and is a predicted model, not a curated record.